GAUGAAGAACGUAGCGAAAUGCGAUAGGUAAUGUGAAUUGCAGAAUUCAGUGAAUCAUCGAAUCUUUGAACGCACAUUGCGCCCCUUGGUAUCCCGAGGGGCAUGCCUGUUCGAGCGUCAUUUCACCACUCAAGCCUGGCUUGGUGUUGGGCGACGUCCCCUUUGGGGACGCGCCUCGAAACGCUCGGCGGCGUGGCACCGGCUUUAAGCGUAGCAGAAUCUUUCGCUUUGGAAGUCGGGGCCCCGUCUGCCGGAAGACCUACUCGCAAGGUUGACCUCGGAUCAGGCAGGGAUACCCGCUGAACUUAAGCAUAUCAAUAAGCGGAGGA
RNAcentral lists this unclassified non-coding RNA (329 nucleotides) under soil metagenome. RNAcentral's name for it is "partial contains 5.8S ribosomal RNA, internal transcribed spacer 2, and large subunit ribosomal RNA". The stretch from base 1 to 120 matches the Rfam family "5.8S ribosomal RNA", at positions 35 to 154 of the family's 154-position model. The record is from RNAcentral.